This 514-nucleotide ribosomal RNA is filed under the name uncultured bacterium. RNAcentral describes it as "bacterial SSU rRNA". It matches the Rfam family "Bacterial small subunit ribosomal RNA", at positions 34 to 507 of the family's 1533-position model. The record is from RNAcentral.
CGCUGGCGGCGUGCCUAAUACAUGCAAGUCGAACGCACUCUCGUUUAGAUUGAAGGAGCUUGCUCCUGAUUGAUAAACAUUUGAGCGAGUGGCGGACGGGUGAGUAACACGUGGGUAACCUGCCCUAAAGUGGGGGAUAACAUUUGGAAACAGAUGCUAAUACCGCAUAAAACCUAACACCGCAUGGUGUAGGGUUGAAAGAUGGUUUCGGCUAUCACUUUAGGAUGGACCCGCGGUGCAUUAGUUAGUUGGUGAGGUAAAGGCUCACCAAGACCGUGAUGCAUAGCCGACCUGAGAGGGUAAUCGGCCACACUGGGACUGAGACACGGCCCAGACUCCUACGGGAGGCAGCAGUAGGGAAUCUUCCACAAUGGACGAAAGUCUGAUGGAGCAACGCCGCGUGAGUGAAGAAGGUUUUCGGAUCGUAAAACUCUGUUGUUGGAGAAGAAUGUAUCUGAUAGUAACUGAUCAGGUAGUGACGGUAUCCAACCAGAAAGCCACGGCUAACUACGUG